RNAcentral lists this ribosomal RNA (727 nucleotides) under uncultured bacterium. RNAcentral's name for it is "bacterial SSU rRNA". It matches the Rfam family "Bacterial small subunit ribosomal RNA", at positions 60 to 776 of the family's 1533-position model. The record is from RNAcentral.
AGUCGAACGGUACAUAAAGAAGCUUGCUUCUUUGAUGACGAGUGGCGGACGGGUGAGUAAUGCUUGGGAAUCUAGCUUAUGGAGGGGGAUAACUACGGGAAACUGUAGCUAAUACCGCGUAAUAUCGAGAGAUUAAAGUGUGGGACCUUCGGGCCACAUGCCAUAAGAUGAGCCCAAGUGGGAUUAGGUAGUUGGUGAGGUAAAGGCUCACCAAGCCGACGAUCUCUAGCUGGUCUGAGAGGAUGACCAGCCACACUGGGACUGAGACACGGCCCAGACUCCUACGGGAGGCAGCAGUGGGGAAUAUUGCGCAAUGGGGGCAACCCUGACGCAGCCAUGCCGCGUGAAUGAAGAAGGCCUUCGGGUUGUAAAGUUCUUUCGGUAGUGAGGAAGGCAUUUAGUUUAAUAGACUAGGUGAUUGACGUUAACUACAGAAGAAGCACCGGCUAACUCCGUGCCAGCAGCCGCGGUAAUACGGAGGGUGCGAGCGUUAAUCGGAAUAACUGGGCGUAAAGGGCACGCAGGCGGUGACUUAAGUGAGGUGUGAAAGCCCCGGGCUUAACCUGGGAAUUGCAUUUCAUACUGGGUCGCUAGAGUACUUUAGGGAGGGGUAGAAUUCCACGUGUAGCGGUGAAAUGCGUAGAGAUGUGGAGGAAUACCGAAAGCGAAAGCAGCCCCUUGGGGAAUGUACUGACGCUCAUGUGCGAAAGCGUGGGGAGCAAACAGG